GGAUAACUUACCCUUAGGACUGGGAUAACUCUGGGAAACUGGGGAUAAUACUGGAUAUUAGGCUAUGCCUGGAAUGGUUUGCCUUUGAAAUGUUUUUUUCGCCUAAGGAUAGGUCUGCGGCUGAUUAGGUCGUUGGUGGGGUAAUGGCCCACCAAGCCGAUGAUCGGUACGGGUUGUGAGAGCAAGGGCCCGGAGAUGGAACCUGAGACAAGGUUCCAGACCCUACGGGGUGCAGCAGGCGCGAAACCUCCGCAAUGUACGAAAGUGCGACGGGGGGAUCCCAAGUGUUAUGCUUUUUUGUAUGACUUUUCAUUAGUGUAAAAAGCUUUUAGAAUAAGAGCUGGGCAAGACCGGUGCCAGCCGCCGCGGUAACACCGGCAGCUCGAGUGGUAGCUGUUUUUAUUGGGCCUAAAGCGUUCGUAGCCGGUUUGAUAAGUCUUUGGUGAAAGCUUGUAGCUUAACUAUAAGAAUUGCUGGAGAUACUAUUAGACUUGAAGUCGGGAGAGGUUAGAGGUACUACCGGGGUAGGGGUGAAAUCCUAUAAUCCUGGGAGGACCACCUGUGGCGAAGGCGUCUAACUGGAACGAUCUUGACGGUGAGUAACGAAAGCCAGGGGCACGAACCGGAUUAGAUACCCGGGUAGUCCUGGCCGUAAACGAUGUGGACUUGGUGUUGGAAUGGCUUUGAGUUGUUCCGGUGCCGAAGGGAAGCUGUUAAGUCCACCGCCUGGGAAGUACGGUCGCAAGACUGAAACUU
This 756-nucleotide ribosomal RNA is filed under the name uncultured archaeon. Its description in RNAcentral is "bacterial SSU rRNA". It matches the Rfam family "Archaeal small subunit ribosomal RNA", at positions 102 to 857 of the family's 1478-position model. The record is from RNAcentral.